GGCGAGAUGGCCGAGCGGUCUAAGGCGCCAGACUAAGGUGAUUGCGUAAUCGUCCGCGUGACCAACUCAGCUUCUGAGUUAAGUAAUAUCUGGUCUUUCGGGGCGUGGGUUCGAAUCCCACUCUCGUCA
Armillaria borealis is the source of this 129-nucleotide non-coding RNA. NCBI's taxonomy places the organism in Eukaryota, Fungi, Basidiomycota, Agaricomycetes, Agaricales, Physalacriaceae. The record is from the annotation of a GenBank genome assembly.